This 497-nucleotide ribosomal RNA is filed under the name uncultured bacterium. RNAcentral describes it as "partial 16S ribosomal RNA". It matches the Rfam family "Bacterial small subunit ribosomal RNA", at positions 28 to 507 of the family's 1533-position model. The record is from RNAcentral.
GAUGAACGCUGGCGGCGUGCCUAAUACAUGCAAGUCGAGCGAACAGAUGAGGAGCUUGCUCCUCUGACGAUAGCGGCGCACGUGUGAGUAACACGUGUAUAACCUACCUAUAUGACUGGUAUCACUUCGGGAAACCGGCGCUAAUACCGGAUAAUAUAUUGCACCGCAUUGUUCAAUAGUGAAAGUCGGUUUUGCUGUCACUUAUAGAUGGAUCCGCGCCGCAUUAUCUGGUUGUUAAGGUAACGGCUUACCAAGGCAACGAUGCGUAGCCUACCUGAGAGGGUGAUCGGCCAGACUGGAACUGAGACAGGCACGAGACGCCUACGGGAGGGAGCAGAAGGGAAUCUUCUGCAAUGGGCGAAAAUUUUGCGGAGCGGCGCCACGUCAGUGAGGAAGGUCUUGGGAUCGGUAAGCUGUAUUUUGAGGGGAAAACAAAUGGGUAAGUAACUAUGCCCGGCGUGACGGUAACUAAUCAGAAAGCAACGGCUAACUACGUG